UACGUAGGGUGCGAGCGUUAAUCGGAAUUACUGGGCGUAAAGCGUGCGCAGGCGGUUUUGUAAGCCAGAUGUGAAAGCCCCGGGCUCAACCUUUGAAUGUCAGCGGAUACUGCCGGGCUAGAGUCCGGAAGAGGCGAGUGGAAUUCCUGGUGUAGCGGUGGAAUGCGCAGAUAUCAGGAGGAACACCAACGGCGAAGGCAGCUCGCUGGGACGGUACUGACGCUGAGGCGCGAAAGCGUGGGGAGCGAACAGG
RNAcentral lists this ribosomal RNA (253 nucleotides) under uncultured bacterium. RNAcentral's name for it is "partial 16S ribosomal RNA". It matches the Rfam family "Bacterial small subunit ribosomal RNA", at positions 524 to 776 of the family's 1533-position model. The record is from RNAcentral.